CUCCUUUCCUUCACCUGGGGCUCCCAGCCUAUUAGGGCACCUCUACCAGUCAUCUAGGCUCUGGAGCUUGGAACACUCCACCCACAGAGUCACAAUGGUUAAACACCACUGGUGGUGAAACUGGAGGCAGAGGUAGCCAGCCCCCAUGGGGCGUAGAGACACCUCAUUAAGGAUGGAUCUGGAUCUGGUGCGUGUCUACACUUAGAGGCGUGGGGAGGCGGAGGCAUGGAAUCCAGAUUUACUACAUGGCUGCACUGUGGAGAGGGAUGCAUCGGGACCAGGUGCAGUAAAGAAUAAAGACAACGGUACAUUAUUUUUAUUAUUGAGUGUGCAAAACAACCAAAACUCUAC
Mauremys reevesii (Reeves's turtle) is the source of this 351-nucleotide long non-coding RNA. RefSeq lists it as uncharacterized. NCBI's taxonomy places the organism in Eukaryota, Metazoa, Chordata, Testudines, Geoemydidae. The transcript has 3 exons. The record is from RefSeq and is a predicted model, not a curated record.